This 449-nucleotide unclassified non-coding RNA is filed under the name Hevea brasiliensis (rubber tree). Lineage: Eukaryota; Viridiplantae; Streptophyta; Magnoliopsida; Malpighiales; Euphorbiaceae. The record is from RNAcentral.
AGCUUCAGGAAUGACUGUGACUACUGUAAUAUCCGCUCUUAGCUUUUCGCCGGAUGGAGAGGGGCUAGUUGCUUUUUCUGAGACUGGGUUGAUGAUACGAUGGUGGUCCUACUCGUUGGGAUCUGUGUGGUGGGAGAAACUUAACAGGAACCUAGUUCCUGUUCAGUGCAUGAAACUAAUUUUUGUCCCACCUUGGGAGGGAUUCUUGCCUAAUGCUAGUAGGUCAAGCUUAAUAGAAAGUGUAUUCUCUAAAGAAGGAGAUGCUAAUUCACAGGAGAACACCAAUGCAUCGAAUGAAAGCGACAGACUUAAACAACUGCUUCAUAAUAUUGAUCUUUCUUAUAGAUUAGAAUGGGUUGGUCAAAAAAAAAAUAAAGCUCACACAGCAUGGCCGUGAUUUGGGCACUUACCAACUAUGACACUAAAACUGCAACUCCUUUGAGUAGGUA